RNAcentral lists this ribosomal RNA (428 nucleotides) under Oehlia diaphana. RNAcentral's name for it is "eukaryotic LSU rRNA". It matches the Rfam family "Eukaryotic large subunit ribosomal RNA", at positions 1 to 428 of the family's 3401-position model. The record is from RNAcentral. Lineage: Eukaryota; Fungi; Glomeromycota; Glomeromycetes; Glomerales; Glomeraceae.
GACCUCAAAUCAGGUAAGAAUACCCGCUGAACUUAAGCAUAUCAAUAAGCGGAGGAAAAGAAAAUAACAAUGAUUCCUCUAGUAACUGCGAGUGAAGAGGGAAAAGCUCAAAUUUUAAAUCUGUUAGGUUUACCUAACCGAGUUGUAAUUUGAAGAAGCGUUUUCUGCGAUUUUGGUUAGUCCAAAUCCUUUGGAAUAAGGUAUCAUGGAGGGUGAGAAUCCCGUUCGGUUAACCAAAGCGCUGUACGAUACGCUUUCAAAGAGUCAAGUUGUUUGGGAUUGCAGCUUAAAAUGGGAGGUAAAUUUCUCCUAAGGCUAAAUAUUGGCGAGAGACCGAUAGCGAACAAGUACCGUGAGGGAAAGAUGAAAAGAACUUUGAAAAGAGAGUUAAACAGUACGUGAAAUUGUUGAAAGGGAAACGAUUGAAG